AUGAACGCUAGCGACAGGCCUAACACAUGCAAGUCGAGGGGCAGCACAAGGAGCAAUCUGAGGUGGCGACCGGCGCACGGGUGAGUAACACGUAUGCAACCUGCCUGUAAGCGGGGAAUAACCCGUUGGAAGACGGACUAAUACCGCAUAAUACUAAAUUACUGCAUGGUAAUUUAUUUAAACAUUUAUGGCUUACAGAUGGGCAUGCGCAUGAUUAGCUAGUUGGAGAGGUAACGGCUCCCCAAGGCAACGAUCAUUAGGGGUUCUGAGAGGAAGGUCCCCCACACUGGUACUGAGACACGGACCAGACUCCUACGGGAGGCAGCAGUGAGGAAUAUUGGUCAAUGGACGAGAGUCUGAACCAGCCAAGUCGCGUGCAGGAAGAAUGUCCUAUGGAUUGUAAACUGCUUUUGCAGGGGAAUAAAGUGCAUCACGUGUGAUGUUUUGUAUGUACUCUGCGAAUAAGGAUCGGCUAACUCCGUGCCAGCCGCCGC
Molecule: ribosomal RNA, 494 nt
Filed under: uncultured bacterium
Lineage: Bacteria
Description: bacterial SSU rRNA
Rfam family: Bacterial small subunit ribosomal RNA
Source: RNAcentral